CGCACUCCUUUUCCACGUCUGCGACAGAGAACGAGCAAACAAAAGGUUAACUAAUUCGUCGAUUUACUUGGUUCCUUUGGCCUGCUGUUGGUGGGGCGGAGAAAAACGACUCUGAAACGAAGCCACCAGGUCGACUGCGAGAAAGAGAGAGAGGAGAAAACCAACGACCCAGCUCGGACGCCAACACGCUGCAGGAUCCACGUAGUACUGCUUCCCAUCUCGCAAACUGGAGUUGCGAAUGCACCGCGACCAGGGCGUCAUAAAUAAAGCCGAGGGCUAUGGCAGCCUGCUGUCAUCCA
Molecule: long non-coding RNA, 299 nt
Organism: Rhipicephalus microplus (southern cattle tick)
Lineage: Eukaryota; Metazoa; Arthropoda; Arachnida; Ixodida; Ixodidae
Source: RefSeq, a predicted model, not a curated record